UUAAAGUUUGAUUUUGGUUUUAAUAUUAAUGUUAUUAUUUUUUUGCAUGUAAAUUUUUAAUAUUAAAAAUUAUUUUUGCAGCAUUUAAUUUUAAUAAUUAAAGAAAUUUAGAAUUAUAAAUUAUAUAAUAUAACAUAGACAAAAGAAUUGUGCCAGCAGUAGCGGUUAAACGUUUUAUGUAAGUUAAUAUAUUCAAUUGAUAAAUUAUAUUUAAUUUUAUAUAAAUAAAGUAAAUUUUGUGGUGAAAUUAAAUUUUUUUAUUAUAUAUAUAUUAUAUAAAUAUAUUAUUUUAUGAAAUCUAAAUUUUAAACUAGGAUUAGAUACCCUAUUAUUUUAGAUGUUAAUUUAUAUUUUAAUAAUUAAUAGUUAUGAUCUUUAAAAUUAAAAAAAUUGGCGGUAUUUAAAACUAAUUAGGGGAAUUUGUUUAUUAAACGAUGAUCCGCGAGAUACCUUACUUUAAUUUAUUAAAUUUAUUUAUUUUCGUUAUCAGAAUAUUUUUUAAGAAUAAUAAUUUUCAUAAUAUUUUAUAAAAUUUUAUUUCAGAUCAAGAUGUAGUUUAUAUUAAAGUUUAAAUGAAUUACAAUAAAAUUAUUAUUUUUGGAUAUUAAAUUGAAAUAUUUAAUUGAAAUAGGACUUAAUAGUAAAAUUUUAAAUUAUAAAUAUUUGAAUUAAGAAUUAAAUAUGUACAAAUCGCCCGUCACUCUCAUUCAAAAAUGGGAUAAGUCGUAACAAAGUAAAUAUACUGGAAAGUGUAUUUAGAAUUC
Molecule: non-coding RNA, 764 nt
Filed under: Gilpinia sp. 3 GYN-2022c
Lineage: Eukaryota; Metazoa; Arthropoda; Insecta; Hymenoptera; Diprionidae
Source: RNAcentral